Molecule: non-coding RNA, 203 nt
Organism: Pelobates cultripes (western spadefoot toad)
Lineage: Eukaryota; Metazoa; Chordata; Amphibia; Anura; Pelobatidae
Source: the annotation of a GenBank genome assembly
CUCGAGCACUCCUGCUUCCACACGAGCCAUGUGUGGCUCAAUCUCCCCUUCUGAGCGGGCCGCCUGCAUGCAAUGAUCAGUCACACGGCCCACCUGGCACAAGGGCAGUGGGAGCCAAAAGUAGAUUCAGGCUCCCGUUGGCCCCCAUCAUUCUGGCUCCCCCACACACGCACCUUUUGGGGGCGUAGGCAUGACAUCGGCUA